This 334-nucleotide unclassified non-coding RNA is filed under the name soil metagenome. Its description in RNAcentral is "partial contains 5.8S ribosomal RNA, internal transcribed spacer 2, and large subunit ribosomal RNA". The stretch from base 1 to 120 matches the Rfam family "5.8S ribosomal RNA", at positions 35 to 154 of the family's 154-position model. The record is from RNAcentral.
GAUGAAGAACGUAGCGAAAUGCGAUACGUAAUGUGAAUUGCAGAAUUCAGUGAAUCAUCGAAUCUUUGAACGCACAUUGCGCCUGCCAGCACUCUGGCAGGCAUGCCUGUUCGAGCGUCAUUUCAACCAUCAAGCCCUAGGCUUGCGUUGGAGCCCUGCGGCUGCCGCAGGCCCCUAAAAGCAGUGGCGGGCUCGCUAUCACACCGAGUGCAGUAGAUUACUCUUCGCUCAGGGCGUGUGGGGGGUUCCAGCCGUGAAACCCCCUACUUCUCAAGGUUGACCUCGGAUCUGGUAGGAAUACCCGCUGAACUUAAGCAUAUCAAUAAGCGGAGGA